Molecule: RNA transcript, 1479 nt
Organism: Arachis stenosperma
Lineage: Eukaryota; Viridiplantae; Streptophyta; Magnoliopsida; Fabales; Fabaceae
Exons: 8
Source: RefSeq, a predicted model, not a curated record
UGGAAAAUCUAACCCGAAAACCCAUUAUUCCUGAAACUAACGUGCACAGCCAGCAAACCCAAAAACGAAGACCCUGUGCUCUGCUCCGGCGACGAUCUGCUCCGGCGGCUGCUCCGGCGACGAUCUUUCUAUCGACGUUAUCCACCGACGAGAUUGUAUGCUCUCUCCUGUGAUGAUCUCCUCUAGCAGUUGCAGAAACUUUAUAAAACUAUGAGAUCUAUUCCGCAAGUGUUUGCUCCGACGAUCUUCUUCAGCGGCGAUCUCCUCCAUCAACACAGAAGUUUCCUAUGGCAUCGAGUUGUGUUCUGCGAUUUCUCCAUCUCCAUCGAGCUUCAUUGAGCAUCUAGGUUUUUUAUUUUCUUCCCUGUCAGAAGAAAUUGGAGGUACUUCUAUUACUGAAUUAUUUUAUUUCAUUCUAUGUAAUUUUCCACCAUAUCUCCCAAAAUCUGCUAGUAUUGCGAGAACAAUUGAGCAUUAUAGAAAAUGAAGAUGUUCAUACAAUGCAUGAUGCUGUGUAUAAGAAGUACACAAUGUUCAACUUUUUGAGCACUGGAAGAAAUAACUUGGUACCAGGCAUGAAUUAGAUGGAGGAUUUACACGGUCUCUCAUUCAUAGAACAGAAGUCAACUCAAAGGCAUCUAGUAGGGGAAUGAUUAGUAUAAUAAUAUCAGGGAACUAGCGGACAAGGUAGCAGCAGCUGGAUUCUUGGUUGUAGUUCCUGAUCUUCUAUAUGGUGACUGCUUUAGUUAUGAUCCUCAAUUUGAUAGAGAAGGAUGGUUGAAGAAACAUGGAGAGAGGAAUGUGAUUAUUUUAGUGGGGACUGGGUCCCCAAUCCUUUUGGACCAUUGUAUACCAAUGAAACCUACAGCCACAUUGAACCUCAUCAGAAUUGUUUGAAGAAUGGAAGGCCUGAUAGAGAAUUUCUGUAUUGGAGAUGGGUUCUAAGAGGCUGUGAGUUACCCCUGUUUGAUGCAGGGAAGUUUCUCAACAUGAUGCAUGGCAAAGUGUGGGCGUUGAUUGAUGAUUCCAUAUCCCGCAAUCAUGUGCAGUUGUUGAUACGCAUUCUUUGAACGGUAUGAGGAGGAUACUUUGAAAGUGGGUAGACAGAAAACCAACAUAAUGUUCAUAGGAGAUGGAAGGAGCAAAACGGUCAUCACAGGAAAGAAAAGUGUUGCUGAUAAAAGGCAAAAUGGAAGGGGCAUGACCACAUUCUGCACAGCCAACAAAUUAUGCUGGUUUAUAUUUUCCUUUUCAUAAAACAUAAAUAUCGUACAUCAGUUUAAUUAUCAAUAAUUAGAAUAUAUUUCUGUAUACGAAUUAAGAACUAAGAAGACCAGCCAAUAAAAUAUGUUAUAAAAAUUGAAAACUGCUAUCAAUAAAAAUUAUAAAUAGGAGCAGUUAAAAAUUCUAAAUUGGUCAAUUAAUUCAACUAUCAGAGUGAAUAACUACUAUUAUUUGCACUUUUCAUUUUAAGCAUAU